RNAcentral lists this unclassified non-coding RNA (400 nucleotides) under soil metagenome. RNAcentral's name for it is "partial contains 5.8S ribosomal RNA, internal transcribed spacer 2, and large subunit ribosomal RNA". The stretch from base 1 to 122 matches the Rfam family "5.8S ribosomal RNA", at positions 35 to 154 of the family's 154-position model. The record is from RNAcentral.
GAUGAAGAACGUAGCGAAAUGCGAUACUUGGUGUGAAUUGCAGAAUCCCGUGAACCAUCGAGUCUUUGAACGCAAGUUGCGCCUCAAGCCAUUAGGUUGAGGGCACGUCUGCCUGGGCGUCACAUAUCGUUGCCUGAUGCCAGUUUCCUCGUGAUGGGUGACUGUGCAGGGCGAAUGAUGGCUUCCCGUGAGCAUUGUUGCCUCAUGGUUGGUUGAAAAUUGAGUCCUUGGUAGGGAGCGCCGUGAUAGAUGGUGAUUGAGUGACGAACGAGACCCAAUCAUGUGAGACCCCUACCGAAUUUGGCCUUCAUGACCCACAUGCGUCUUUGGAACGCUCAUGACGAGACCUCAGGUCAGGCGGGGCUACCCGCUGAGUUUAAGCAUAUCAAUAAGCGGAGGA